UUUGAAUAAGGAAAAUCGAUCAGAAAGUAGUGCACCUCUUGUAUCUCAAAUUUUAAGUCUUCCAAAUUCUUCUAUUUUUUAACCCCAAGCUUUAUUUUAACUCUCUAAAAUGCGAAUGCUUUGCGACAGACUUGCCGCUCUGACCGCUGGUUCAAUGGUCGGGGUUUGGUAUGCAAAGAAUUUCCCCUGCGAUGCGUCCAAAGCUGACGAUGGCGGCAGUAAGGAGAAGGACAAAGCCAAGGAAAAGCGAAAGGACGAGGGGAAAGAGAAGGAGAAGGAGAAGGAGAAGGAGAAAGGCAAGGACAAGAGUUAAGAAAAUGGCUAAACUGGGUGGAAUCAGAGCUCCUUUUAGCUGAUAUGAUACUAGACAUGAGCAGAAUUCAAACGUCGAGGACGCAAUCAGAAACAUUAAAGGCCAAACUUAAAAUUCUUGAGGUAAUACUGCAAGAAAAGCUCGGCUGCCAUGCUUCAUAUGAUUAAGACCAUUUUUUUAUUACGAUUCCGCCCAGUUGAUAUAUUCUGAUGAACAUUUUGGCAGUUUAAUAAAGAUGCGCAUUGUAUUAAAGAA
Drosophila elegans is the source of this 568-nucleotide RNA transcript. It is a transcript of the gene named putative vacuolar protein sorting-associated protein 13D, with no coding region annotated. The record is from RefSeq and is a predicted model, not a curated record. NCBI's taxonomy places the organism in Eukaryota, Metazoa, Arthropoda, Insecta, Diptera, Drosophilidae. The transcript is spliced from 2 exons.